RNAcentral lists this transfer RNA (73 nucleotides) under Paenibacillus sp. FSL R5-0345. RNAcentral describes it as "tRNA-Phe (GAA) (tRNA-Phe-GAA-4-1)". It matches the Rfam family "tRNA". Rfam says of the family: Transfer RNA (tRNA) molecules are approximately 80 nucleotides in length. The record is from RNAcentral. Lineage: Bacteria; Bacillati; Bacillota; Bacilli; Caryophanales; Paenibacillaceae.
GGCUCGGUAGCUCAGUCGGUAGAGCAUAGGACUGAAAAUCCUGGUGUCGGCGGUUCGAUCCCGUCCCGAGCCA